This is a non-coding RNA of Podarcis lilfordi (Lilford's wall lizard), 72 nucleotides long. The record is from the annotation of a GenBank genome assembly. Lineage: Eukaryota; Metazoa; Chordata; Lepidosauria; Squamata; Lacertidae.
GGGGCCAUAGCUCAGAGGUAGAGCACAUGCAUUGCGUGCCAGAGCUCCUGGGUUCAAUCCCUGGUGUUGCCA